ACAGCAGUCGCCACGGGAAUACGGAGGGUGCAAGCGUUAAUCGGAAUUACUGGGCGUAAAGCGUACGCAGGCGGUUUGUUAAGUCAGAUGUGAAAUCCCCGAGCUUAACUUGGGAACUGCAUUUGAAACUGGCAAGCUAGAGUCUUGUAGAGGGGGGUAGAAUUCCAGGUGUAGCGGUGAAAUGCGUAGAGAUCUGGAGGAAUACCGGUGGCGAAGGCGGCCCCCUGGACAAAGACUGACGCUCAGGUGCGAAAGCGUGGGGAGCAAACAGGAUUAGAGACCCCGGUAGUCCCUGUCUCUUAUAC
RNAcentral lists this ribosomal RNA (305 nucleotides) under uncultured bacterium. Its description in RNAcentral is "partial 16S ribosomal RNA". It matches the Rfam family "Bacterial small subunit ribosomal RNA", at positions 505 to 807 of the family's 1533-position model. The record is from RNAcentral.